Pseudopipra pipra is the source of this 374-nucleotide long non-coding RNA. RefSeq lists it as uncharacterized. The record is from RefSeq and is a predicted model, not a curated record. The transcript has 2 exons. NCBI's taxonomy places the organism in Eukaryota, Metazoa, Chordata, Aves, Passeriformes, Pipridae.
GGAGUGGCCAUGGAGGGCAGACAGAUGACAGGAAUUAACCUCCGAGUUGCAACGCUGAGAAACACCAAACUAAAGAACUGUAACCUCAGGGGAGCAACGUUGGCAGGAACUGAUUUGGAAAAUUGUGACCUAUCAGGUUGUGACCUCCAGGAAGCCAAUUUGAGGGGCUCUGAUGUGAAAGGAGCCAUCUUUGAAGAGAUGCUGACCCUCUGCACUUGUCCCAGAGCGUCAGAUAGGGAAGAGAAAAGGUCAAAGAGGAAGGAAUCCAAACAUUUGUCGUGACUUUCUUCACCUCCUCCCCUUCCUGAGUUAGAAGGAAUGGUUAUUAGACAACUUCCAUUUGCAGUAGUGCCUAAGUAGACUCUUUCUGAUCA